Molecule: ribosomal RNA, 293 nt
Filed under: Candidatus Eubacterium pullicola
Lineage: Bacteria; Bacillati; Bacillota; Clostridia; Eubacteriales; Eubacteriaceae
Description: partial 23S ribosomal RNA
Rfam family: Bacterial large subunit ribosomal RNA
Source: RNAcentral
GUGAGACAGUUCGGUCCCUAUCCGCUGUGGGCGCAGGAGAUUUGAGUGGAGCUGUCCCUAGUACGAGAGGACCGGGAUGGACGUACCGCUGGUGCACCGGUUGUUCUGCCAAGGGCAUAGCCGGGUAGCUAAGUACGGAAAGGAUAAGCGCUGAAAGCAUCUAAGUGCGAAGCCCACCACAAGAAAAGAUCUCCCUGUAAGACCCGUGGGAGACUACCACGUUGAUAGGUCGGAGGUGGAAGUACAGUAAUGUAUGUAGCUGACCGAUACUAAUAGGUCGGGUGCUUGACCAA